UUACGACCACAUCAUGUUGAAACACCAGUUCCCAUAUGAUCACCACAGUUAAGCAACGUCGAGCCUGGUCAGUAACUAGAUGGGUGACCGCUUGGGAAUACUAGGUGCUGUGA
Molecule: non-coding RNA, 113 nt
Organism: Acanthosepion pharaonis
Lineage: Eukaryota; Metazoa; Mollusca; Cephalopoda; Sepiida; Sepiidae
Source: the annotation of a GenBank genome assembly